This 305-nucleotide ribosomal RNA is filed under the name uncultured bacterium. Its description in RNAcentral is "bacterial SSU rRNA". It matches the Rfam family "Bacterial small subunit ribosomal RNA", at positions 338 to 639 of the family's 1533-position model. The record is from RNAcentral.
CCUACGGGAGGCAGCAGUGAGGAAUAUUGGUCAAUGGGCGGAAGCCUGAACCAGCCAAGUCGCGUGAGGGAAUAAGGCCCUACGGGUCGUAAACCUCUUUUGCCGGGGAGCAAGGGCGGGGACGUGUCCCGGCCCGGAGAGUACCCGGAGAAAAAGCAUCGGCUAACUCCGUGCCAGCAGCCGCGGUAAUACGGAGGAUGCGAGCGUUAUCCGGAUUUACUGGGCGUAAAGGGAGCGUAGGCGGCCUGCCAAGUCUGAUGUGAAAUACCGGGGCUCAACCCCGGGGCUGCAUUGGAAACUGGCAG